CGGGGGGGGCAAGCGUUGUUCGGAAUUACUGGGCGUAAAGGGCUCGUAGGCGGCCAACUAAGUCGGACGUGAAAUCCCCAGGCUCAACCUGGGAACUGCGUCUGAUACUGGUUGGCUUGAAUUCGGGAGAGGGAUGCAGAAUUCCAGGUGUAGCGGUGAAAUGCGUAGAUAUCUGGAGGAAUACCGGUGGCGAAGGCGGCAUCCUGGACCGACAUUGACGCUGAGGAGCGAAAGCUAGGGGAGCAAACGGGAUUAGAUACCCCGGUAGUCCUAGCCCUAAACGAUGAAUGCUUGGUGUGACGGGUAUCGAUCCCUGUCGUGCCGAAGCUAACGCAUUAAGCAUUCCGCCUGGGGAGUACGGUCGCAAGGCUG
RNAcentral lists this ribosomal RNA (372 nucleotides) under uncultured organism. RNAcentral describes it as "bacterial SSU rRNA". It matches the Rfam family "Bacterial small subunit ribosomal RNA", at positions 526 to 896 of the family's 1533-position model. The record is from RNAcentral.